RNAcentral lists this long non-coding RNA (435 nucleotides) under Salvia miltiorrhiza (redroot sage). RNAcentral describes it as "long non-coding RNA (SMIL_LNC004297)". The record is from RNAcentral. Lineage: Eukaryota; Viridiplantae; Streptophyta; Magnoliopsida; Lamiales; Lamiaceae.
UUUUUUUUUUUUUUUACAAAUGAGCUAAGAUCACACGUAAUGAAAGAGGCUGAAGAUCUUAUUCAAUAUUAAGAUAAUAAAAUGGUGAUUUACUGAUCGAUGAUGAUGUGAGGGUACAAGUGGGAUUAUUUAAUAAGGAUAAAAAUAUGUUUGAAAAACGUAAAAGGUCAAAGACAUUUGGUUAAAAAUUAAGCUGGCAAGCUGCAGAGGUCGGAUAUCACAUGUGCAAAUCUCACUCAUCGCCUAGCUGUCGUUCAUAUUUUCACAUUUUUGACCUAAUCAAUUUCAUGUAUUUAUUGAACAAACCAACCAAUAUUCCAUUUACUAUUUUUUCACCCUUUAAUAUGUGAGGAUUAGGUGUAAAUACUAUGUUUCGAGAGUUAAAUUGAACUUAUGAUUUUGUCAAUAAUAGAACUCGAUUUUCUUAUGUCGAUC